Molecule: ribosomal RNA, 458 nt
Filed under: uncultured bacterium
Lineage: Bacteria
Description: partial 16S ribosomal RNA
Rfam family: Bacterial small subunit ribosomal RNA
Source: RNAcentral
CCUACGUGUGGCAGCAGUGGGGAAUAUUGCACAAUGGGGGAAACCCUGAUGCAGCGACGCCGCGUGAGUGAAGAAGUAAUUCGUUACGUAAAGCUCUAUCAGCAGGGAAGAAACACUGACCUUACGGUCAGCAGACGGUACCUGAGUAAGAAGCCCCGGCUAACUACGUGCCAGCAGCCGCGGUAAUACGUAGGGGGCAAGCGUUAUCCGGAUGUACUGGGUGUAAAGGGAGCGUAGACGGUGCGCCAAGUCUGGAGUUAAAUGCCGCAGCUUAACUGCGGAACUGCUUUGGAAACGGGCGAACUAGAGUGCGGGAGGGGUAAGCGGAAGUCCUAGUGUAGCGGUGAAACGCGGAGAUAUUAGGAGGAACACCGGUGGCGAAGGCGGCUUACUGGACCGUAACUGACGUUGAGGCUCGAAAGCGUGGGGAGCAAACAGGAGUAGAUACCCCUGUAGUG